This 472-nucleotide ribosomal RNA is filed under the name uncultured bacterium. RNAcentral's name for it is "bacterial SSU rRNA". It matches the Rfam family "Bacterial small subunit ribosomal RNA", at positions 34 to 507 of the family's 1533-position model. The record is from RNAcentral.
CGCUGGCGGCGUGCCUAACACAUGCAAGUCAACUUGACUGAAGGAGCAAUCUGACAGUAGAGUGGCGCAAGGUGCGUAACGCGUAAGUAACUUGCCCAAGGUAAGGAAUAACGUCGAGAAAUCGGCGCUAAUACCUCAUAAUGCAGCGGAUCCGCAUGGAUAUGUUGUUAAAGGUUUACCGCCUUGGGAUAGGCUUGCGUCUGAUUAGCUAGUUGGUGUGGUAACGGCACACCAAGGCUACGAUCAGUAACUGGUCUGAGAGGAUGAUCAGUCACACUGGAACUGAGACACGGUCCAGACUCCUACGGGAGGCAGCAGUGAGGAAUAUUGGGCAAUGCUCGAAAGAGUGACCCAGCAACGCCGCGUGGAGGAUGAAGGUAUUCUAUAUCGUAAACUCCUGUGAGAGCAGACGAAAGACAGAUUAUUAAUCUGGAUGACUGUAUGCUCAGAGGAAGCCCCGGCUAACUACGUG